ACCAGACUCCUACGGGAGGCAGCAGUGGGGAAUAUUGCACAAUGGGGGAAACCCUGAUGCAGCGACGCCGCGUGAGUGAAGAAGUAUUUCGGUAUGUAAAGCUCUAUCAGCAGGAACGAGACAAGACGGUACCUGACUAAGAAGCCCCGGCUAACUACGUGCCAGCAGCCGCGGUAAUACGUAGGGGGCAAGCGUUAUCCGGAAUCACUGGGUGUAAAGGGAGCGUAGACGGCUGUGCAAGCCUGAAGUGAAAGGCGGGGGCCCAACCCCCGGACUGCUUUGGGAACUGUACGGCUGGAGUGCAGGAGAGGUAAGUGGAAUUCCUAGUGUAGCGGUGAAAUGCGUAGAUAUUAGGAGGAACACCAGUGGCGAAGGCGGCUUACUGGACUGUAACUGACGUUGAGGCUCGAAAGCGUGGGGAGCAAACAGGAUUAGAUACCCUUGUA
This 446-nucleotide ribosomal RNA is filed under the name uncultured bacterium. RNAcentral describes it as "bacterial SSU rRNA". It matches the Rfam family "Bacterial small subunit ribosomal RNA", at positions 330 to 792 of the family's 1533-position model. The record is from RNAcentral.